Molecule: ribosomal RNA, 157 nt
Filed under: Chelatococcus asaccharovorans
Lineage: Bacteria; Pseudomonadati; Pseudomonadota; Alphaproteobacteria; Hyphomicrobiales; Chelatococcaceae
Description: partial 16S ribosomal RNA
Rfam family: Bacterial small subunit ribosomal RNA
Source: RNAcentral
GGGCUACACACGUGCUACAAUGGCGGUGACAAUGGGCAGCGAAGGGGCGACCUGGAGCUAAUCCCAAAAAGCCGUCUCAGUUCGGAUUGCACUCUGCAACUCGAGUGCAUGAAGGUGGAAUCGCUAGUAAUCGCAGAUCAGCAUGCUGCGGUGAAUA